UUUAUAUAAAAGAUAGAA
Molecule: small nuclear RNA, 18 nt
Filed under: Arabidopsis thaliana (thale cress)
Lineage: Eukaryota; Viridiplantae; Streptophyta; Magnoliopsida; Brassicales; Brassicaceae
Description: snRNA_05225
Source: RNAcentral